This 879-nucleotide unclassified non-coding RNA is filed under the name Malbranchea umbrina. RNAcentral's name for it is "Auxarthron umbrinum sequence contains 28S rRNA gene". It matches the Rfam family "Eukaryotic large subunit ribosomal RNA", at positions 50 to 941 of the family's 3401-position model. Lineage: Eukaryota; Fungi; Ascomycota; Eurotiomycetes; Onygenales; Malbrancheaceae. The record is from RNAcentral.
GCGGAGGAAAAGAAACCAACAGGGAUUGCCCCAGUAACGGCGAGUGAAGCGGCAAAAGCUCAAAUUUGAAAUCUGGCUCCUUUCGGGGUCCGAGUUGUAAUUUGAAGAGGAUGCUUUGGGUGCGUCCGCGGCGUAAGUCCCUUGGAACAGGGCGUCAUAGAGGGUGAGAAUCCCGUCUUGAGUCGCCGGCGCGCGCCCGUUUAAAGCUCCUUCGACGAGUCGAGUUGUUUGGGAAUGCAGCUCUAAGUGGGUGGUAAAUUUCAUCUAAAGCUAAAUAUUGGCCGGAGACCGAUAGCGAACAAGUAGAGUGAUCGAAAGGUUAAAAGCACCUUGAAAAGGGAGUUAAAUAGCACGUGAAAUUGUUGAAAGGGAAGCGCUUGCAGCCAGACUCGGGUUCGGAGGCUCAGCGGGUAUUGUUAUGCCCGUGCACUCCUCCGCACCCGGGCCAGCAUCAGUUUUGGCGGCCGGUCAAAGGCCCCCGGAAUGUGUCGUCCUCCGGGACGUCUUAUAGCCGGGGGUGCAAUGCGGCCAGCCGGGACUGAGGAACGCGCUUCGGCACGGAUGCUGGCGUAAUGGCUGUAAGCGGCCCGUCUUGAAACACGGACCAAGGAGUCUAACAUCCACGCGAGUGUUCGGGUGUCAAACCCGUACGCGCAGUGAAAGCGAACGGAGGUGAGAGCCCCUUCGGGGGCGCAUCAUCGACCGAUCCUGAAGUCUUCGGAUGGAUUUGAGUAAGAGCGUGGCUGUUGGGACCCGAAAGAUGGUGAACUAUGCCUGAAUAGGGUGAAGCCAGGAGAAAUUCUGGUGGAGGCUCGCAGCGGUUCUGACGUGCAAAUCGAUCGUCAAAUUUGGGUAUAGGGGCGAAAGACUAAUCGAACC